Molecule: ribosomal RNA, 432 nt
Filed under: Triticum aestivum (bread wheat)
Lineage: Eukaryota; Viridiplantae; Streptophyta; Magnoliopsida; Poales; Poaceae
Description: partial small subunit ribosomal RNA
Source: RNAcentral
UCGGGGUUCCCCGACGCGGCCAACUUCCGGUUCCUCGCGUCCCUCAACCUGCGCUCCGUCGUGUACCUGUGCCCGGAGCCGUACCCGGAACAGAACGCGCGGUUCCUGGGGCGCAGCGGGAUCAAGCUCCACCACUUCGGAAUCCAGGGCCGCAAGGAACUGUUUGUCGGCAUCCCCGAAGAAAUGAUCCGCGAGGCGCUCAAAGUCAUCCUUGACGUAAGAAACCAUCCGGUGCUCAUCCACUGCAAGAGAGGCAAGCACCGUACCGGCUGCGUGGUGGGCUGCCUGAGGAAGCUGCAGAAGUGGCGCCUGUCCUCCGUCUUGGACGAGUACCUGCACUUCGCGGCGGCCAAGGCCAGGAAAACCGACCAGAGGUUCAUGGAGCUCUUCGACACGUCAAGCUUGGUGCAUCUGCUGGCCUCGCAGUGUUGA